UAUUGUUUCCAUUAACUUUAUUUGGUUAACAUUUAGCUAAAAUGCAGUUAAUGCAGAAAAUAUUUACUUCUUUCACAAUUUAUAUAGACUUUUACAGUCUUUAAUGGUAAUAAAAUUCAGGAGUUGUAACCAUCAACUCUGUUGUGUUGGGUGGGUUUCAUUUUAUUAAUAAUUCAGAACCUUGCAACCCAGUAUUUUUGAAGAAGCUUUAUCAGAGUGGCAGACUUUUCCACCUUUCCACACCGCAUACGCCUCUGGUGAAAAAAGCUUUAUU
Molecule: long non-coding RNA, 274 nt
Organism: Betta splendens (Siamese fighting fish)
Lineage: Eukaryota; Metazoa; Chordata; Actinopteri; Anabantiformes; Osphronemidae
Exons: 2
Source: RefSeq, a predicted model, not a curated record